GGGGAAUAUUGCGCAAUGGGCGAAAGCCUGACGCAGCGACGCCGCGUGAGGGAUGAAGGUUUUCGGAUCGUAAACCUCUGUCAGAAGGGAAGAAACUACAGUGCUCUAAUCCUCAUUGCCUCUACGGUACCUUCAAAGGAAGCUCCGGUCACCUACGUGCCAGCAGCCGCGGUAAUACGGAGGGUGCAAGCGUUAAUCGGAAUUACUGGGCGUAAAGCGCACGUAGGCUGUUGUGUAAGUCAGGGGUGAAAUCCCACGGCUCAACCGUGGAACUGCCUUUGAUACUGCUUAGCUUGAAUCCGGGAGAGGGUGGCGGAAUUCCAGGUGUAGGAGUGAAAUCCGUAGAUAUCUGGAGGAACAUCAGUGGCGAAGGCGGCCACCUGGACCGGUAUUGACGCUGAGGUGCGAAAGCGUGGGGAGCAAACA
This 426-nucleotide ribosomal RNA is filed under the name uncultured Desulfovibrionaceae bacterium. RNAcentral's name for it is "bacterial SSU rRNA". It matches the Rfam family "Bacterial small subunit ribosomal RNA", at positions 356 to 774 of the family's 1533-position model. Lineage: Bacteria; Pseudomonadati; Thermodesulfobacteriota; Desulfovibrionia; Desulfovibrionales; Desulfovibrionaceae. The record is from RNAcentral.